UACUUCUCUAGUUGCUGUGAGCAUCACUUGUAAAUCUCGCCUUGAAACAGCUGCGAUUGUAUCCGCCAGGUGCACACACACACACACACACGCUUAGUUUGCGCCGCGCCACACCUGAGCGGAGAGGGGAGAGCAAUAAAAAUCCGUUGCCUUAGCACAAUAAAGAAGAGAGCAUCGCCUUGCGGGACAUUGUGGCGGCACCGGCACACAAACAUAUAUAUAUAUAUACAUACGUAUACACGCCUUCAUAAAGCAUCGGGUGCCUGACGGUUCCCCUUGUGCUCACUCACACCGAAACUCAUCCUACACCGUGAUUGCAGUGCCGCUUGUACUCCACUGCACCGCACGGGGUGACGCGGCGUUUUUAGCAGUCGUCAUUGCCUUCUUGUACGCCGCUGCUCAGCUGCCCUGCUCUGAUGGCGUCAGAGAAAGCGGUUGAGUCGGCGAAGGGGUUUUGCGGGCCGGCGAUGUAUGCCGCCAGUGCCAUGCAUGCCCGCAUUACCCUCGCCGACGUUCCACCCAGCGCUGACGGACUUCGGCUCCUAGCCUCGAAUGGGAACUGGUCGGAAGUACUGGCGCUGGCUGAGCGGCUCGCAACAGAGGUAGCAGCCAAGGCCCGCCGUCACCCGUUCAAGUAUGCUUCGGUGCCUUGGAGUACGUCUCCACCGGAAUCCACGCUGCGAGUGAGUCCUGAGCACCCCCAGGAGGAGCCUUUGACCACGCAGUCGCCCCCCGAGACAGAUGUGACCGCCGCAGCCAGCUCAGCGUCGAGGUUCUCCACAGACGCUGCGGUGCGCAGUGCACGACUUCCCUACGUGCUGGUGCAGGUGACCGCUAAUCUGAAGAUGCGACGCAUCGCGGCUGCCAAGAAAGUCGUCGAUGCCCUAGGGGACAUUGAGGGGGAGGGGUUUCGCCACCCCGUCACGCGCGAGAGCUUCGCCCCAUUCUCGCUGCGGGUGGUGGCAGCCUUGCUACCGCUCUACGUCGGGGCGCCGAUGGAGGCGCAGAAGAAGCUGUAUGCGCUGCUGGAGGAGUGCCUCCGACACGAGCGUCAGUGCGGCGCGGCCAACAGUCAAGCGCGCAUCUCCGCUGCUGUCGGCGCUGACGCAGUGGAGCACUCAGCGGCCUCUGCGGCUCUGCAACGCACCUGGACACGACGGGUGUUGCGUGUGCAGCGUGCCCUGCUGCAUGUGCACAUUCACAUGAACCAGCAGUCUUUGGCGCACAGUCUGGCGGAACAGGUGCUGCGCUCCGAGGAGAUUUGGCACCACAAGUUCCAUGACCUUUCCGAUGAGCUCCAUCAGCUUCGCCACGCCCUUCACCUGCAGCAGCUCUUUUGCCUUGCCCUCCACAUCGGCGAUGCUUCGCGUGCACAUGCGACGCACGCUGCAAUCCAGAAGAUCGCCGCUGCCAACGGUGCAGACAGCAGCACAGAAGCGACGCCGUUGAAUGUGGUGUCCAACGCGAACCUCUGCAAACUAGUCGUGCUUUCCUGUGAUGCGUUCAUGGCGGUGUUCAGGGGCGAGUUCAGAGAGGCGGUUCGGCUCUUCCGCGACGUGAUUGACGCGGCUGCCGACAUGAAGCAGGCCUUGCGUGCCGCUGCGGAUGGUUCCGGCACGGAUGUGCAUUCUUCUCCGGUUUCUGACGGCUGCAUCAGCGAGGACGCGCUACGCCGUUGGGUGCUUCAGGACAUUUGUGCGAACGCGCAGGUGUCCCACGCAACGUGCCAGGCGUACUGCAGCGACGCUGACCCUACCAAGCUCAUGUCUAGCCUGUGCACGACGCUGGAGGGGUACGCCAAGGCGGAGCCGCACGUGCUUUGUAACUCCGACGCGUUUGUGGAGAGCCUCGUGCGGUUCUACACCCUCUCUGGUGAUCGCAAGGCCAAUCUGAACCGGCUGGCGGAUUUGUUGGAGGUGUUUCGCUGUGAUCGCAUGUCUCUGCCGAACCUCGAGGCACUUGUGUAAGAGAUGAUGCGUAAGCGCUCGAGGACUGCACAGGCUUUUAGCCAAGUGCCCCAUUGGCGCAACACGCGCUGGCUGCUUCUUUACCAGGGCGCGAGGCCGCGAUGGUGAGCGUCGUCUCUCUCUCUCUCAGCGUCUGCGAGACGUGGGUCGAGAGUGCUUCCUUUCUGCUACCGUUUAUUUUCUGUCGGUCGAGAGGCUUCUUCAAUACGCCACUGAUUAUCGUAGUGCUGCCGUGCGGUGUGCGAGUAUGUGCGUGAGGUGUCUUUGACCCCCCUCUCGCAUCUCUUCUUUCUUCACCUUCCCCCGCUGAUCAGCGCUCACGGCAUCGCUGUGGCUUCAAGCUCAUGUCUCUCUCGCGGUGCGGACUCUGCGCACGAUUUACUCUACGCUGCACACAUGCUCACAAACGCUGUCAUUGAUGACUGCUGAAAGGGCUGACAGGAUCUCGGUAACGCCCAGGACACGGCCACUGUGACUCGCUGCACGGUGCAAAGGACGCACCAUGCUCUAUCCCCUUCACUUCGCGUGAAAGCUUGCUCUCCGUGCCAGCCGUGCUCCGCCAACAUCCUGAACAGUGGCAUCAAGAGACAAACACGUGCAGCUAUUCUCUUGUUGCUCGUCUCAUCUCCUGCCUUCUUCCACCAG
This 2612-nucleotide unclassified non-coding RNA is filed under the name Leishmania donovani. Its description in RNAcentral is "gene:LdHU3.26.2170(CDS-product:hypothetical_prote in_conserved)". The record is from RNAcentral. Lineage: Eukaryota; Euglenozoa; Kinetoplastea; Trypanosomatida; Trypanosomatidae.